GGGUGGUAUGGUUCUUAAGAAUUUGGUAACUACUCCUGAACUAGUUUUGCGAAUUGUCACCUAUACCAAAGCUUAAUUAACAAAAGCAUUCGUUUCAAAUCAAUUGUACAAUUCAUAUAGAAAAGUGUUACAAAAUACACACACUCAUACUGGAUUUCAAAUUCAAAAUAUAUUUCAAAAUCAUUAAAGUCAUAUAGAUAUUCCAUUAACAGAACAUACUAUGUAAGUUAACAUCUAACUCAACUCCAAGCGGUCCGGUCCUACUAGAGAUCAUUUCCCACCUACGCAUAGCAAAAGUACUUAAUUCUAAAUCUAAAGGCACUCAAUCGUGCUAAUUUAUCAUAAUAAGGAACCCAAACACUAGUCUUAAAUAAUAAUCUAUAUCAAGGACCUCAAACAUUACACCAAGUUAUGACUAAAUUACUAAAAUGGAUCCGAUCUCAGUUCACUUACGAAUCCAGGGCCAGGGCCGGACCUUGGAGCAGAACAAGUUUCUAGUUACGUGGCCAACUUCCAUUUUCACCUCAAAUUAUCUCCAAGCUUUGCAUAGUAAUCAAAAUCCCACAAUUUCAAAUUUCACAACCAUAUUAUAACAUAAAUAGGCUUGGAAAUACAGCAUCAUACUUAAAUCGUACAAUAAUGUCUAUUAGAAUAAAUCAUUUUCUUAAACAACCAAAUACCUCAAAUUUCACUUCCAAUAUUUUAUAAUAUAAUUAAACUUAAAAAAACAAGAUAUUAGGCAAGAAAUCAUAAAUUUUCUACAAAAAUAAUUAUCUACCAAGAAUAUUCAAACCCAUAUUCAUUCUCCUCUAAAUGUAACUAAACAUUGAUCAGUCGCCUUGUAAACAUUAAAGCCUCAAGUUUUCUAUUAGCUUUGGUUCUUUGAUUUGUUUGGAUAUCGCCUUGAAGGGAAAAUGAAUGACUGAGGUUUAGAGAGAUGAAAAGUUUUCAUUAACUAUAUAUAUCUAAAUUUUCUUAUUUUGCUCACACAAUCUCUAAUUCUUAACUUUCACAACUUGAACCCCCAAAGUUUAUAUAUUCUCCUCUAAAACCCCAAAUGAAGGAAAUCGAUGUCACGGGGAACAAAAAAAGAAAUUGUUGAAAUCCCUAAAUCCCAUACCGUUUUGUUAAAUCACCACUUCCCUGCUUCCUUGUCUUGAUUUUCUUUUUUCAUUUUUUCAAUUAUUAUGUAAUACAUCUAAAUGGAUGAUGAGUAAUAGAUAUACAUACAAACAUAUAUACAUAUAUACACACAUAUAUGUAUAUAUGUGUGUGCCUAAAUGUGCAAGGGAUAAGGUGACUAAUUCCAUAGCUUAGAUUGUGUAUCAUCACAUAAUUGAAUCGAAAAUGAAAUUACAAAGACUCUGCUUGGAUGGAUGCUUUUUUUUUUUGGCUAUUGUUAGAGAAGCUUUACUAUAGCACCUAUUUUGAUGAAUUUACCUAUGAAAUAAAAAGAUAGUCAAAAAAUGUAUUAUAAAAUUUUCAAAAACAUCUAUACGAAAAAUAUAUUCAUUCAUACAAAACCUGGCUCUUUCAAAUAGAUUUUCUUAAAAAAAGUUUCAUUGUAAUAACUUUAUUCGUACAUUUAUUUAUGGAAAAAAUCAUGCCCAAAAACAUGUUUAAAACCAUAUUUGAAAAUUUCAAAAACAUGCCCAAACAAGUGGAGCCUAAGUUUUCCACUUCAUUUGCUUGUAAGAUGUAGAUUUACUAGUGCGAACGAAUUGCAUAGUAAAGGUACACCAAGUGGGCACAUCCACAUAAUGCUACAAUACCAAUUACUUCCGAUCAAGUUAGGAAAUCCUUCACGUCUAGCACCUAGCAUACAAGAAGGACUCGCCUUAUCUUUUUGGAACGUGAAUGAUGCCGGUGCCCUAUGAGGCACAUCUUGACCAUCUAAUAUUUUUCUACUUUAUAGCAAACAAAAAUUCUGUUUUCAUGAAGAAAAUAGUUUGUGAUACUGGCAAAAGUAGGGGUUGAAAUUCGGAGGUGGCAAAACUAGUUGAAAUUCUUAUACUUUUGUAAAAAAAAACUUUAGGGGUAAAGUCUAAUAUUACAAAAAUAUAAGUAACACUUUUAACAUUCAAGAGGAUGUAGAAUGAUUUCAAAAAUCUUUGGGGGCAAAAUUUAAUUUGUGCAAGGAUAUAAGCAAAACCUUUUAAUUUUGAAAGCGGAUAUAAAAGAAUUUCUCAAAUCUUGGGGAGGCAACAGCUGCUCCUUGCCCUCCAUUACUUCCGCCAGUGGUUUGCAAUAUAGCACCAUAUUCUGCACAUAAUUAAGAACAAUUUUCAAACAACAAGUGGUAAAUUUUAUACGAAAGAAGGUACUUGUUUUGAAAUGAAAUAUUUUAACCAAGACUGGAUUCACUGAUGUCCAUUUGGCGAAGAAAAUCCUUGAGAAUGAACUUAAGUACACUUUUAGGUCCAGUUAUAUGUAUGAUGAGAACUUAAAGGUAACUAGUUAUGGUGACUAAGAUUGGUACAAGGUGAUGGUGUGUAGUUUUGUGUUUAGGAUAAAGUCUAAGGUAAGGUGAGAAGGAAGGUUCAGGUGAAGGAUAGGGUGGGAUGAGCUAUGGUCUUGCAGGAUUUGUGAUAAGUGGCCAAUAUGCACUACAUUUAGUGGCUAUUGUUUAGGAUUUUUAAGUUUUUUUUUUUUGGCUUGAAAUCAAGAAGGGAAUUGCUUGUAGUGAUUAAAAGUUGAUGCGUAAAUAUUGUUGAUUAAAGUCAAUUAUUUUUUACUUGUUUAAUAUGAUUAUUCUACCUAUAUAGUAAAAGCGCGAAUGGCUUUGUUGGAGGUUGUGGUUGUUGUGCUGACGCGGCAGUAUUUUACUGGCUGAAAUUUGGUCGUCAUUCACGUGCACCUCGCGUGGUUUCGCCGGGAGGAGGAGUGGGAAUUCUUGCUGUUGUCUGAGAAGAAGCAAGUUCGGACCUUCGGUUUUUAAGAAGAAGCUGUUUCUCUGUAGCCUGAGUACCAUUUGUCUUCUGGUCAACAGCUUGCUAGCUGAGUGAGCUUAUGUAUGACGUUGGUGAUGGUUUGAUUGAUGACAAGUGUUGGGUGCUGGGCUCAAUGUGUGGUGUGAAUUGACGAUAUUGCCCUUCUUUUCAAAUCAGAUUAUCCGUUGUAUCUUGCUGUGGUUCUUCUUUGUCUUUGCGAUUUGGUGAGAAGAGUUUCAGCUCUGCUCUAGUUUUACAGAAAAGAGAGAAAAGAUUUGAACAAAUAGCGGUUAUCAAAUUAAGCAAAAAAAAAAAAUCCAGAAAAUUGUUGAAGAUGCAGGGCAAGGUAAUCGGCCCAACAACCUCAUGGGCUAGGACCGGUUAAUGGACUGAUCACAUCCGAUUGAAGCGCUGGGGUCGGCUAUCGCCUUCGCCCUGACAAAAUGUUGGCCAAAAUUGUUGCGAAACAGGGCAGAAAAAUCAGCCAUGUGACCUUAGCAACACGAGCCGGCUCCAGGGCUGAUUAUCUAGCCGCAUUUCUGAGCAAGUUGCACUGGGUUUCUUGUCAGAUACUCCUCCUAUGUGUUUCAAGUAUUGACGAGACAUUGUGGUUGCUAGAAGGAGAGUACAAGUAUCAACAAGAAACAACUUUUGUCAUUUUAAAUCUUCUUCAUCCCAUUGGAGCCAGAUUGUUAUUUUUGAAGCCAAUUUUUAUCAAAUGUGCACACUAGAAAUAAAACACAAGAAAAAGGGCUCAAAGACUUAUCUAUAAAAUAGAAACUUGUGUCUUCUCAUUAAGGAGCUUUUGAGAAGUGAAAGAACUUCAUCAUUAAAAAUGUAACAUUCAUAUUUUCUUAGUUUUAGAAUAGAGUACGAUAGUUUAGGUAAUUGUAUAUCAUCCUCUCUUGUGUAUAGGUAGGCAAAGAUGAAGAAGGAGAUGACCUCAUGUGACUGGGGUUUUAUUUCUUUUGCAAACUCUUUAUCUUUUAUAUUGGAUUAUACUGUUUACUUAAUACACAAGUUUGGAUUUUAUGUUCAUUAUGUGUUUCUAAAGUUUAUAUCUAAAAUUAUGGAUGAAUUUGUUGCAUCUUGUUUGUAAUGUUUACUUGGUUAUUUCAUACUAUUAUUUUGAACAAAUUAUUUAGCACUUUAACUUCUAUAAUCAUGAUUAACUAGCCAUUAAUUGUUUGGUAAUCUCAAGGCGUUAAAUUAAUAAUAAAAAUUGAAAUUUAAUACUAGUUCAAGAAAGUACUAAAUUUAGAGAGUUUACUCAUGAAAGUAGAAGUACACCUUUGUGACCUUGAUGAUUUGUUCCAUGUAAUUUCACAGAAGUGAAUGAACUUAUAACUAGUUUCAUAACUAUGAAAGUAGGUAUGAAAUAGUUAUAAGUAUAGUUGAUUUACAGAAGAAAUGGGUUUCACAUGCUUUAAGAAAUUAUGCUAUAACUAACCAAUAUAAUAACAUUCAAUUAACCAAUAAUUUCACUUGCAAUAGUAGUUAGAAUUCCACAACCCUAGAAACUUUUAUCAUUGUUUUUGUUUAAUUUUAUUUCAUGCUCUUGGUGCAAUUUUAAUUGCUUCAUUUAUGGUAGUGUAAAUAAUAAAGAAAUUUGAAAAACCAUCGGUAGUUAUAUCAUUCUUCUUUGUGGGAUCGAUGCGUAAUAUCCCUUAUAUUCAGUAAAAUAAUUUGUAUACUUGCAGAAAAUGAGUUAUUUAAGAUUUUAAAAUUUGGUGUAAAGGAAAAAAUCUAGUCAAUUUGGUAGGAGGGUAAGGGUGCAUGGCUAGGGUUGGUGGUCAUCAUAGGAAAGUAGGAUACGACAUUGAUGUGAUAGUUAGUUGGGGAAGGGGAUAAACAAUAAUAUACAAAAAAUUAUUUAUUUAUUUUCUAUCUUAUCUGUUUUUUGAACAAUUUAUAACAAUAAUUCUAGUGUUUAGCCUUAUUUUUAUCAAUUUUCUUUACACAUACAUAGAUUUGUAAUAAAUGUUCUUUUUUUCUUUGUAUUGAUUGAGAUUUUACAAAUGAAAAUAGAAAACAACAAAAAUUUAAUGUUUUAAAAUAAGAAAUUCAAGCAUAAUAGUAUUCUAGAAGUUCUUCUAAUUAUUCAAGUAUACUAUUUAUCGAAUUUGUGCUUUGUAAAAAAAUUUAAAAUGCAAAUAAUUCACAAUAUUAACCCUACUUGUUAUGGAGCAAUAGACCAAUGUACUUGAAUUAAUUAUCCAUGAAAAUCGUUGUUGACAUUGAUAUACAAAAUUACAAUCUUUUCUAUACAAUUCUAAAUAAUACAUGAUAUAGUAACAUGUCAUUCAUAUCCAAUGAGUGGUAAGAAAUCAAAACUUUAUUAAUUAUGCCAUACAUAUAUACUUGGUAACAUAUACUGGUACGCAAUAGCGGAAAUAGAAUGCAAAGUAUUAAAGACAUUCAAAUAAUAUUAAUUUCAAAUAGAAAAUGGUUGAAAAAAAGGCAUUUAAAAUUUAAAAAUCUUAUUAGGUAUUUUGUGUACUCAUUUCUCUAAUUCCAUUCUACCUAUUUACUUUCAAAAUGUCUCCAAUUGGUCUCCUUCGCUCUUUUAUAUAGUCUCCUAUAUACUUUCAUUUUUCUCUUGCUUUAGUGAAAAUUUUCUAGUCUUAAUAUGCUACUUUUACUUUUUGUCUUGACAAAUCUCUUUCCUUAAUAUGCUACUUUUAACUUUAUUUUUUCUAGACUUGACUACUAGUCGGAGGGUUAGCAAUGCUGCACUUGAGUAGAAUAUUUUAUCACUAUGGAUAGUGUCGAUAAUAGUGGAUCUCUCCGUUAGUUUUUUAUCAACUUUGGGCAUUAUGAUACAAACUUUGACAAUUUUUCUUUUUCCUUUGGAUUGACAAUGUACUAUUCAUACUAUUAUUUGAGUGUUAAUUGAAGAAUUGCAAGGUUUUGUUACAUAUUCUUCUUGUGUUCGAACCCUAAUUCUAUGUGUUCCAUUAUUAUUGAUACAUUAUAGACAAACUAUGAAAAAUUUUAUGUCGAUCCAGAGCAACUAUUAGACAUACCUAGUAGUUGCUUCUAAACCAAUGAAAGAGUUCCAGGUGAAUAUAUAAGAGUCCAUUGGAGUUGUUUAGAAUAAAAUUGCUAGUAGUUGCUUCGAACCAAUGAAAGAGUUCCAAGUGAAUAUAUAAGAGUCCACAGGACUUUUUUACAAUAAAAUUCGGGAAAGAGAACCAAAAUAUUUCAAAAAGUUAGGCAAGGUAUCAUGUGUAGACACCAAAAUUUUAAUUUUUAUUUAAUUCAAUUCUAGCUUUAUUUUUUAUUAUUUAUUCUUGUUUUUAUUUUAGUUGAUUAAGUUUGCAAAAUGAUAGUUAGUGUUUAUUUUUUGCUUAUUUUAGUAAAUUAGGUUCAUCAUUUUUCUUUUUAAGACAUUUUUUGCAUUAAAUUUCUGAAAAAAAAAAGAAAAUUCUUACAAAAAUUUGUUUUAAUCUUUUUAAAUUCAAGUACUUCAAAAUAAAAUGAAAAUUAGUGAUGCAUUUAACAUUUUUUUUUGGUUACCCUAAACUUGUUUUGAAAAACAAAAAAUAACAAAAUAAAAAAUAGGUGGAGGCCAUGCAAACUAGCUAAGUGAGAUAGGUUAGGGUUAGACAAGUGUCCUCAUUUUUUUUUUACACCACAAUACUUGCUAGAUUAGGCGCAGAACACUUGUUGAUUUGGAAAAAUUUGGAGAAAAAUCUGGAAAUUAGAAGGAGGAAGGGAAGAAGCUACGGGAAAAAAGGGGGAGAAAGAAAGCAAGGAAAAGAAAAAAGAAAGGCGGCGGACGGAGGGAAAAACAAGAAAAAGGGAGGCUACGGGGCUGGGAAGAAAAGAAAGCAAAAAAGAGGAACAGAGCAAGAAAAAGAAGGAAACCGAGAGAGAAAAAUUUGGGAAAGAGCUUCAGGGCUAAACAAGAGAGAGCAAGAGAGGUAGGGAGAAACUACAAGAGAUAGAGAGAAUGAGAGGAAAACUCUAGAAAAACAAGAAACAAGAAACAAGAAAAAAAAAAAAAGAAGCUGCGGAGGAGAAAGAGCUUGGGCAGAAAAAAAAAACUAAGAGAAAAGAGGAACUAGUAGCAAAAGAAAACCAUGGAACAGAGGAGAAGACGGAGCUGCCAUCGUUCGCCGAAAUCACCCACCACCGUUGCCGUCAAUCUUCACCGGAAAAACACUGUAAGGCUUUCUAACGAAUGUAUGGAAAUGAGAGUUAUUGACCUACUUGCUCCUCUCCUUUUUCUUUUAGUAAAAAAUUCUUAUCUCUUUCUGAUGUUUAUGCAUUCGUGUGGAGCUGUAAUUUCUGUUGUUUGUAAGAGAGUUGGUUGGGUUGCUGUAAAUUUUAGGCUUGCUAUUUUGCAAAUCAAUAAAAUCGGUUCAAUUUUGUUGAUGCACCUAACCUGUUUGAUAAAAGACCUCUGCAUAAACUUAAGCCAAAGAAGUCAAUAUGGUGAUUUUCUGUGUGAGUGUAAGAGGAACUCUGGCCCAAAGCUGGCCAGAGCCUGUGAGUUCGAUAGUUGGGGGGGGGGGGGGGGAGGAAAGGAAGUCAAGAAAUUUUGAAGUUGAUUUCUUCCGUUUUGGCUGUCUUUUGUAUCUUACAAUGGUUUAGUGUGUACUUGUGCGUGUGGAGUGAAAAGAGAAAACUCCAGCCAGUCCAAUGCCGGCUGAAGCGACGAUUUCCAGUUUUUUCGGUGAAGUCUCGGUGAAGUGACGAUUUCCAGUCCAACCUUUCUUGUCUUUUAGUUUCUAGAAUCUGUUUUCUCUCCGUUAUGGUAUGAUAACCUUUUGGAUGGCUUGAUACGUUUAAUGAAAACCCAAAAAUCUGCGAAGAAGAUGAAGGCUUCGACUAAGAAGCCUAAACAUUUUUUGGAAAUUCUGUUUAAACCCUCUAACUUUUACUUACUUCUGAUAUGGCCCAAAAAAUGGAAAUAUCAGUCAAUUCUUGUCCUUUGAAAUCUUAAUUUUUAUUUGGCAAAAUGUAAUAUGAUUUUCGGACAGAUUAUGUGUGAGUUUUAUGAUGAAAUUUAAGGUUUAAUAAUUUCUAUACAUUUAUAAUUUUAAUUUGAGUUUUAGUGGAAAAUUUAAAGAUUUGGGUAAUAUUAUUGUGGAUUUAAUUUAUUUUGUGAAUUUUAGCAAUUAAGUUUGAUAAGCUUUAAUUGGAGCUCUUAAUUUCAUUUUUCUUUAAUUUUGACCCUUAAGAUUUUGUGAUGAUAAUUUGAUCCCCAAAACUUUUUUUUUUCAAUUAGGUCCUUGUUUGUUUAAAAUUUCUUAAAUAUGGGUUGUUUACUUUCAUUAAAUACUUUAAUUGAUUCAAUUUCAUAUUUAUUUCCAUAUUUUAUGAUUAUUUGUUAAUUAAAGUGGUGCCUUAACCAUUUUCUUCGUGUUGGAGAGAAGAAAUAAGGGCAAUUUGACUCCAUUUAGUCACCAUUUCAAAAGGGAGGUACCCCUAUUAUUAUUAUUUCAAUGUCAAUUACGUGUUCUUAUGUGCUUCUACGUGUUCCUAUGUGUUUAUAUAUAUUUAUAUGCUUCAUUUAUUUGAUUUAAAUGUUCAUUCAAACUUUUUUAUAUUUAUUUAGUUAAUUUUUAUAAUUAUUUGAGAGGCAUUUAAAUACCUCAAAAAUGUAAUAGAUAGGAUAAUUAGAUUUGUUUUAUUAUAUUUUCUCAUUUUAAAUUGUAAUAGGUAGGGUGGAUAGGAUUUUUUCAUCUCCCCAUUUUAGAUUGUAGUUAGAUUCUCCGUUGUAAUAGGUAGGUUUUGUCUGUUUAUGUGGCUUAUGUGUUAUAUAUUUUACUCGCUUUCCUUAGGACUUUUGCAUCUAGAUAUUAUGUCUAUGGGUUACGUGCUACGUGCUCUUAUGUGUUUAUUUGUUUUAAUUUAUACCUUAUUUGUCUUACUAUGUUUUAAUAAUGCAUAACAUUACCACACUAGUCCAAUGCUAGUUGUGGCUUCUCCCUCCAUUUACUUGCUAGUCCAACGCUAGUAAGAAUUUCUAAAAAUGGGUUAGUUCAACGCUAGACCUUUAGAUCGUUCGUGCGUUAGAUUCAUUUUUGAGUGAUAUUCAUUACAUUUUCAUGCAUAUUUUUAUUUUUAGGAUCUUUUCUCAUUUGUGUGAUAUUGCCUAUUAUAUUAUCCUCUAUCUUCUAUGUGUUAAUCAUAUCAUUUAGAAUUGCAUCUCAUUUAAGAAAUUGUAAAAUAAGUUAGUUCAUUUGCUUGUCUAGAUUAGGAGAAUUAUUCUUCGAACAUGGGAAAUGGGCGAUUAUAACUUUUUAAUUUAAAUACCCAUUAAUCCCUGCAUAAGAAAAUUAUGUCACGAGUUUUUGCCUCCCAUAUCCAUUAUGUUGCAUUCCCCAUUCUUUGGCCACUUAUACCUAUAUAUAUAUAAUUUAACUUUCUUUUCUUUUAAUUUCAUCAUUCGCAUACUCGUGACCCCUUCAAGGAAUUAUUUUGGCUUUCGCAAUUAAUGCGAUUGGUAUCAAUUAAACCCUUGAAUGGACAUUUUUGUCCUUUUCGAUAUUUUAUAAAUUUAGAUUUGCAUCCAUAUAGAAAACAUCCAAACGUGAUAAAUUUAAGAGUUAGAUUAAGAAAAUUUUUUGAUUAAAUCUCGCAACUAACUUAGACUAGGUUGAAAGGGUGCCUUAGAUUUGAGUUAAUCAAACUUUUGCCUUCGUUUUCUUCAACCGUGACUCCCGUACUCAUUUUCUCUUGUUUUUCAAAGAUCUAGAGUUGUCGAAAAGGGUUUUAUUUUAUUUUAUUUUUGUCAAAAAAUACUUUUAGGUGACUUGGUACACAAAAACUCAAUACCAAGUGGCGACUCCUAUUUUUCUUAAAAACUCUUUUAAACUAAAUUUGGAUCCAAACUGUCGCAUUUUUUAAAGUCUCAUUCUAGGUUAUUGUCACUUAUUUUUAAAUAAAAAUCACAUCUUUUAUAAAUAUUUAUUUUCAUCGCCAAAAAUGGGGUGCGACAAUUUGGCGACUCCACUGGGGACUUUAGAAAGUUCGACCAUUUGAUUUAGUCAAUCAUUUUCUUUUUCUAACCUUUUUAUAUAUCACAUUUGGAGGUUUUAGAUUGCAUUUUUUUCUUUUAGGGUUUCUUGCAUUUAACACGCUCGAUCAUCUCGAUAUCCGUGUCUAUGAUGAAUAAAUGUGUUUAUUUUCUUUCAUUCACUUAUGUUUAUAUAUCGCGCUUGCAUCUUGGGGGAAGAGGAAUAGCCACCCUAGAACUUUCACCUGCAUUUAAUGGUAUUUAAUUCCUCCCCUCAAAAGGAAGUACCUCAUACGUGUAUGCAUUACUUUUACUCUAUUUUUUUUCUUUCUCAUGGGCGCCAUCUCACAUCUCCUUAUAGGAUUAGUAUCGAUUUUCUUAAGUAGGUGGAUGGUGUGCUCUGCACCCAUAACGAUGCCUAAGGGAUCACUCAAGCCACCGACCGAAGGCCUUGAGAUUGAUGACCCUUCGCCUUUUGGUCUGAAGGUUUGGGAACCUGAAACCUUAUCGAGUUUAGAUGCAUUAGUAAGCCAAAUCUCAUGCAUCCAUAUUAAAAAAUCCUAAGAUAGAGUCAACAUUAUCUAACUAGGAACAGUAGACACGAGGGGAGGGAUUCCACCCUUCUUUCUUUACUUUCCAUUUUUGUAUCAUGUUUUUGCUCCAACUUGUUAUGUGUUAUUUGUUAUUCUAACCUCUCUUUGUUUUCUCUUCUUAUGCAUUCACCAACUUUAGAUAAUAAGAGUCCUGGCAUAGUAUUUAGAUAGCUUAUUGCACGUUUAAAUUAUAAGUUAUUGCAUUUUAUUACACACCAUUCUAGGCUUACCCCAACAUUUAAAUGGGGCACUUUUAGGUCAUACUUCAAUCGUUGCAUUAUAUAUUUAAUACGCUUUAAUAAAUUGUCGUCAUGCAUUAACCAUAGAGGGAAUGCCGCAUAGAGAAUCCCACGUUAGAAAUAAACUAGCUUGUGUCUCGGAUACAUAAUUCAAUGAGACUUACACGUUUAUAUUUUCUUUUACUAUUCUGAGGGAUAAAAAUCCCGAAGGUACUAAAAGUGAAUUUCUACUCAGAUGGCUCCUUGCAGAGUAUUGAAUCAGAUACCUCGAGAACUAAUUGAUUAAAAGAAUAAUAUGUCGCAUGAGGUUAAAAGAUUAUUCAAAUAUGUGGGGCAUUUGCCAAGUCUCUUGAACGUGACGCCCAUUGUCGCGAUUAUCCAAACUCUACUUGAAUAUUGGGAUUCGGAAGAUUCGAUUUUUCGAUUUAACGAAUGUGAGUUGACGCUGACUUUAGAAGAAAUAGAAGAACUUUUGCAAGUACCAAGGAAAGGUCAUCCCAUGGUAUAUCUAACUAGUGGAACAAGGGAACAGUUUUGUAGGUUUUUGGGAUUGAAGCAAAAUAGUAUGGAUCAACAUCCCGAUGCAAAAUCGUGCCGGUUAGAGUUCCUGUACAAGCAAUUUGGGGAAAGAGAAUCAUAUGACCAAUGCCACGACGACUUCUUCAUUAGCAGAGAACAAUGGAAGGAGAAGCGAGUGCAAGCCUUUGGACUAACUCUGAUAAAUCUGUUAUUGUUCCAGCAAAAAUAUGGAAAAGUCACGUUCUCAACUAUUAAUAUGAUUCAGAGUCUGUUUCUAGGAAUCAAUGGAAAGACCCCUACCUUGGUACUUGUUAUCAUUGCCGAUAUCUUCACAGCUGUUACUGAGUGUCAAAAGAAAAGAGGGUUCUUCUAUGCAUCAAAUGUGGUAAUUCAAAUGUGGGCGAUGGAGCACCUAUCAAAGAGAACGCUCAAUCCCUUAAGAUCGUGUCUUCCAACAGAGAAUUGGAUCGAAUCACACCGAGAAAGAGUCAAAAGAUACUACUGAAUGGCAUCUCCGAGCCAGUUUAUUCAAGAGUUCGAUAAUUUGACUCCGGAUAACAUACAAUGGGUUCUUGAUUGGACAAAAGUUAGGGAUCCACCUUUCACGACUACACAACAUAGUUUUAUCCCUCUAGCAGGCACCAAUGGGUUGGUCGCGUAUGUUCCGCAACGAGUCAUGAGGCAGUUUGGAUAUUCACAAAAAGUUUCGAUAAUACAAGAAAUUGAAAAAAUCAGACUCAACACAGUUGCCGAGUGCCGAAGCAUGGUACUGGAAGUUUGGGGAAAUUUUCAUAACCAAGACAACCUAUACCUAGAUCAAGUGAAUAAAUUAGAACCUAAGGUCAUAUCGGGAUAUUGUGAAUGGAUCAAACUGAUAAUAAAACAAGGAAGAGAAAGGUCGCCAUCUGUCUCCACCAGUCCUGAAGAGCAAAUAGAGAAACUAAAGAAGGAAUUGGAGGAUCACUAAUUGCAGAUUAUAGUGGCCGACCAUGCCUUGGAAGAUGCCCGAUCGCAAUCAAAGAGAGAGACAAGGAAAACUGAAAAGUUGGAGAAAGCAUUGGAUGCAUUUGACAAAAUUCAAGAAGAAAUUCGGAAGUUUAGCAUAGGGAGUUAUAGGGAAUCUCAACAUACUUGAUUAGCAAGGCAUGAGAAUUUUGUAAAAAUGGUCAGUUGAACCAUCAAUGAGAUUGUAAAGAAUGAUUAAACUUAUCAGUAUUCACUGAGGAUUUCUAUUUUUGAUUUCUACAUUUACUUACAGGUUUGAAAUUGGGAUUUUAUCCUGAAGAUAUUGCAUCAUGUUAGGUCAACUCUUGACGUAAAAAAGGCUCCCCCAUAGGACAAGUAUCCGAAUUAUUUAAAUAUCUACUAACUCAUGUCUUUUUUCCUUUUUCCUUCUUUUUGAAAAAUUACAGCAAUUUGAUACAAAAUCCAUUCCUGAGCCGAUUUCUUUCCUCUACUAUCAGGUAAUUGCAAACAUAGUUACACGAAAAAACCCCAAAUCAUCCGAUCACGUAGCCGAACUUUGAGAAAUAGUGUAAGUAUUAGUACACAUCCUGAAUCAUCUUAUAGGACUACAACAACGCCACCAACCAACCUUGCAAAUCUAGGAGUUCAACUGAGCGAAGUGUUAAACAAAUUUAAUGAGUUAAGCAUGGAGAUGACCGCACAACGGCGCGUGAUUGGUCAAUUGGUAACUGGUAGCGGUAGCGGUGUUCAACAUGAGCCCUUACCUGCUAGUCAACCUGAACCUCAACCAUUGUCCUUACCUUAUAUUCAAACCUCUUUUGCUUCACAUGUCAUAAAUCCACCUGAGGAAGCUUUCACCUAUCCCACUCAUGGCCUACCACAUACCUAUGCACUCAACAUCCAAAUCAAUCCUUCUCACUCUCAAAUUCCUCUAAAUUAUCCACCUGUUAGUCUGAACAUGCCACUUGAACCUCAAGAACCAUAUUAUUAUUCCACUGCAGAACUAUUCACGCUAAACACCGCUGUCCAAGAAAAGGUUGAAGUAGGAGAAUCCUCAGCGCCAAUUGACAAGAAUUUAUUAAAGAGGUUGGAUCGGUUUGAUGAAUUCAUGAGGAAGAGUCAAGGCCUGAGCAACAAGGAGAUAUAGACCAUAAUGAAUUGUGCAUGUUUCCUGAUAUGCAACUGCCUGUGGGUUUUAAAACACCUAAAUUUAGCAAGUAUGAUGGAACAGGAAACCCCAAGAUGCAUCUCCGAAUGUUUGCCAACAAAUUAGGAAAGACAAUAGAUGACGAGAAUUUGCCAGUUCGAUUGUUUCUCGAAAGUUUAGAAGGCGAUGCACUGGAUUGGUAUUCCAAUUUGAAACCUGAUGAGAUGAAGACAUGGAUGGAUUUCUCAACGGCGUUUGUAAGACAAUACGAGUAUAAUUGCGAGUUUGCUCCGACGAGAACCACACUUGAGGGGACUAAAAGGAAACCAUCUGAGAAUCACAAGACUUAUGCAAAGCGAUGGAGGAAAUUGGCUGCCAAGGUGGAAUCUCCUAUGACUAAAGAGGAAAUUGGCUGCCAAGGUGGAAUCUCCUAUGACUAAAGAAGAAAUUGUUCGAACAUUUAUCAAAACUCAUGACCCGCUCUAUUUUGAGAAAAUUUUUCGCAUGACUGGAUGUUCAUUUGCAGAAAUUGUUAACAAAUUGAAGGAGUAUGAUGAGUUUAUAAGAGCGAAAAAGAUUGUUAAUGUGUCAACUCUGAAGUCGCAAUUAGAAGGGUUGCAAAAUCAAGGCAGCAGUAGCAAGAAAUCUCAAUUCAAGAAGAGAGAGGAGGAAGCUUCAUUUGUUUGGAACCAAGGCCCUUCUUUCCGAUUUAGAUACCAACAAUACCCCACUUAUCCAUCCCGUUACCCAUACCAACCACGCUCUCGACCUGUUUAUCAUACCACCAUCAACCAUCCUCGAUCCCGACCAAAUUACUCAAACACACCCGCAACACCAUUUCACAUUUCUCCACAUAACUUUCAAACUAGAUCUCGUCCUCCUUAUAAUCCAAGACCUACUCCGCCAACUAACCAAAAUUACAACUACCAACAAACCAAUGACACCUAAAAUCUAACCCCAUACAGAACUUUCACCAAUCUAGGUCGGCCCGUUGAUCAGUUAUAUGAACAACUCAAAAUCGCAGGAAAAAUUGGUGCGAUACCUCCUAAAACCUACCCUAGGGGCAUUUCUGCUGGUUAUGACCCUCAAACAAUUUGUGCAUAUCAUUCUGGAGCUCCUGGAUAUUCUAUCGCCAAUUGUUGGGCGUUUAAGUAUAAAAUUCAGGAUAUGAUUGAGGCCGAAAACAUAGUUUUGAGAAGGAGAGAUGAACAAGGACUAAGUGUUAGCAAGAAUCCUCUUCCCACGCACAAGGAUACUGUUCGAGCUAUUACCAUAGACGAGGAAACCGAGGAACCUACUCAAUACAUUAUGGAUGAAUCUGAGACAAUGGGGGUCAUUGGAGAACCAUUCAUACUGGAAGAAGAAACUUACGAAGUCAAGAAAAAUGCUGAUCCUUUUCUCUUGGAUGUGAUACCUUUCGAAUGUGAGCCAUCAGAGCUUCUGAUACUUAAAUUGCCUGAACAAGCGUCUGUUCUUAAUCUACAAGAAAUCCCAUGAAAUUAUAGUGAGCCUAUUUUAUUGAUUGGAGGAGAAGGAGUGCCAAAAAAGGAGGUGGUCGCUGUCACUGGAUCUGGAAGAAUCAUAAAUGAACCUGCAGUUAACGAGCCAUCAAAAGCAAAGGAAAAUGCCGUGCCAACAAGACCAGCUGUGACUAAAGACGAAACAUUCAAUUUUCUCAGGAUGUUGAAGAAAAGCGAGUAUAAAGUGAUCGAGCAAUUGGAUAAAAUGUCCGCUCAAAUUUCUAUGUUGAAUCUGCUCUUAAUCCCGGAACCUCAUAGAGAAGCUUUACUCAAGGUAUUAAUUGAGACUCAAGUGCCUAAGAAUAUUCCGAUUGACAAAUUCACCCAUGUAGUCGAGUAUGUUUUGGUUUCAAAUUAGAUUUCUUUUUCUGAUGAAGAUUUAACUUCUGAGAAGAUUGGACAUAACAAGACAUUGUAUAUCUUAGUCCGUUGUAAUGGGAAGUUGUUACCGAGAGUUUUGAUAGACAAUGGAUCCGCUUUGAAUAUUUGUCUAUGGAAUACUUUGGUUAAAUUGGGGUUUUAAGAGGCUAAAUUUCGGUCGUCUGCCACCGUGGUGAGAGGAUUUGAUGGCGUAAAAGAGAAUCAAUGGGAGAAGUGGAUUUAAUGCUAGAAAUCGAACCUGCCCAAUUCCAAAUCAUGUGCCAAGUUAUGGAUUUCUCAAAUGUUUAUAAUAUUCUACUUGGACGACCUUGAUUUCACGCUUCGGGCGCUAUACCAUCUUCGCUCCAACAAAUGUUGAGAUUUGUGGUGAAUGGCCAGUUGAUCACGGUAUUUGCAGAGGAUGAUUGUACUAUGAUUGUUAAUUCUGGGCCAAAUGAGGAAGAUGUUAGAAAAUCUCUGGUUUCUCCUCACCAUGUGGCUGACAUCGUUUCAGUAGGCUGGGUAUCUAAGGACAAAGCGGUGUUGGAAAUAAAUUUACCAGAAACCAGCAUUAUGAUGGUUAAAGAGAUCAUUCGGGGAGGAUACGAGAUAGGCAAUGGUCUCUGGCGUAACUUGUAGGGAGUUCUAGAACCCAUAGAGGUUCAAGGAAAGAAGAAUACCUUUGAACUAGGGUUUCAACCUAUUGCCAAGGAUAAGAAAGAAAUGCUGGAUCGCAAGAAAGCGGAAAAGAGAGGAAAUCAAAUUAUCAGGAGUAUCACACCAUUGUACUGCAUUUUUCCUUAUCCAUCAGAAGUGAUUAAAUCUGAAGUGGACCAUGUGACAGCCCCACCUCCCCCUAAGGCGAACCAGAGGGUUCGACGGGCCGCCUGCCCAGCUCUCGCCGGGACUCAGUCGUUCACUACCAUCCUCAAAUGAAUUACAAGAAUAAACCUCAAAUAUUACAAUAUAAAUCUCCAAUAUAACAUCAAAUUCUCCAAUAAUUACAUGUCAUAAGCGAAGCGGAAACAAUUUCCAACUAUACAUAAAAUGAUUCCAAAUCCAAACUGUACAAGAUAUAGGCCAUCCAGACAUGUGAAUAAAUACUACAAGUCCUUCCUUCGCCUUGAGCCCUGUGGAGGGGAAUAAAAUAGUUUUGGGGUGAGUUAGAAGCUCAGCGAGUAACCAGUAAAAUCAGAAAUCAAAUAUAUUUCACAAUGUUGCAUUUCGAUCAUUUCGAUGAUGUCAUGAUUCAGAGAUCAAAUGUACAUUUAUUGCUCUCGUGAGCUAGUGAAAUCAUUGCACUUGAACACCCAACACUCAAAUAAAUCAUUUAACAUUAACAUUGAGAGGGAGCCCCUUUUUGAGCUCCAGAUAAACAUAAACAUGAACCAUAAACAAGGUGGAGACGUUGGUGUCCAGCACAAGACUUUCUCAGAACUCAUUGAAGCCAAAUCAUGUCAUGAAUCCACAUGCAAGCACGCAUGAUAUGCAAUCGAAUAAAUAAUGCAAGAAACAUUUCACAAGUAUUUUGGAAAUAGUUUAGGGUCACUCACCUCCACGGCUCAGAAAUCAUCCAGCAUAUAACAUUGCCUUGCUCAAAUCCAAGUCUUAGAUCACAAACUCAAUGCAAACAAAUCCCUUCAAAGUUCGGACAGCACUUCCCCUGAAUUUGCUAACUUUUCCAGCCGUCAUGGCUUCAUUAUUUCCUCAUUCCAACCCAAAGGUACACACACAACAACAAGUUCAUCCAAUAGCCAUUCAGCAAGCUCCAAGUAGUACUAGUACAAGUCAAGCAAGGGAAAAGUCCGGAAAUGAAAGUUAAGCUCAAAACCAGAAAAACAGCUUUUGACGUCAUUUUGCGGUAAUGAUACCAAAGGCGCUACGAUUGUCGGAUGAAGGUGAAAGAUACACCGUUUCGAAGCUAAGAGACAGGGCUACAAUAUUACAAAAGGUCACUCAACCCAGUUUCGAGUGUAACCAGGUAAAAAAUGCAAGAUACUACACCAGAAUCACAGAACGCAUUCUAGCGGAAACAUCAUAAAUCAGGUUAUCCAAGUCCAAAUCCAAAAAUUCCAAAACCAGCUGAAAGCUAAGAAACAGGGCUAAAUUUCAUCAGAAGGCCUCAACAACCAAUUCCAGCCAAAACAACCAAUUACAGGCGCAAUUCUUAUAUUCGGGUAAAACCAGAAUAGCAAUAGUAAUUUCGACUUUUCUCAUUCUACACUACUCCGAUUGAACUGAAAUUUUUUAGGUACCUCUAAAAUGUCAUUCACUACAACUUUCAUGUUUUAAGCCAAGGCCAAUUCGGCCUCUAACUAGGAGCUAAAAAUUCGGGCAGAAUGUUCCUUCACAAAACCUAAUUUUCUGAAAUUUCUUCCAAAACAGAAAUUGAUUGCAAUUGUCCACUUUUUCCACCUUCUAGAAUCAUUAUAUACCAUUUCCAAUCAUCAUAGAUAGCCAUACAACCAUGCUUAUAUUAAAACAGAAAAAUCCCCAAAAUAAUAAAACUUCAUCACUUCAACCACAAAUCAAGAAAUAAUCCAUAAUAUUGCAUCUCAUACCACCACUAAUCAUGAUUUAAGCAUCAAUUAAGGGAAGGAGAGGGGUCCUUCACAACUCACCUUAGCAAUACAAGAACUAGAGCAACUAGUCACCUUAGCUUUCCAAACAACUUCACAACCAAGCUCAACUCCACCAAACUAAGAGGUUUUAUGGAGUAAAUUCAAGUUUAAUCGGUUGGAAUUGAAGAUUGAGUGAGAUGAGAAGCUAGAAAGUUGAGAGAUUUUUCUUCUUUUCCUUUGAGAGAGAGCCAGCCAUGAAGCAUAGAAAUAGGAUGAUUUUUGGGUCAAAAUUGAGUAUUAGUAAAGGUAAGAAAUAAUGGUCAAAGUCCAAGAUUAAAUCACAAGGUGACACUUGUCACCUUUUUGGUUUAAAACUUAUCUUUUUGUCUCUCCAAUACAAAUAUCUUAACACCUUGUAAAAUAAUAUCACUUAAUACAAAAUUCUAACAAGUUGUCAAAAAUAUAAUGCAUUUACCGCACUAGCGGGUCCCACGUCCAAAAUACGCUCGUAAUUUCUCAAAAACUAACCGAUACUAGAAAAAUCAUUUUAAAACUAUCUUUGCUCAUAAACUUUAUUUGGGGAAUUUUUCUAAUAAAGAAAAUGUAGAAAAGGCGGGCGAUUAAAUAAAAUAAACCCUAGAAAAUUAAAAAAAUUUCGGGUUCUCACACUCAUACUUUUCGGGGCGUCACAGACCCGAUCGAUAAGGUGGCUAUUAGUUUGUCUGAGUUAUUCGUGGGGGUUACUUAUGAUGGUGAGCCAUCAGAGAAUCCAGAAUUUUCAGAAGUCUCCAGGGAAGCAAUGAAGAAUUUGACUAGUGAUUUCCUUCCCUCCCAAAGGGAAUUUCGGUAAAUCUAGGGAAUUACCUUUGGUUGAGAAUUAUGAAAGAAAUCAUUCACAUCGCCCAUCUUUUGCAUUUCAGUCUUGUAAAUAGUUUUGAAACAAAUGUCUUUUCAAUACAAGUCUUAUGUUAAAUAGCAUACCUUUUAUUAAGUAGCAUAUUAUGACGUUUUGUCCUUUAUUUGAAAUUCACUGAAAUGCACAGUGUUUAUUUUUCAAAUUGUUUUACUUACUUAUUGUUGUAUCUAUCUCAUUCUUUUUUCAGAUGGCUAAAAAUAAAAUUCAUUGACCCUUUGGAUAUCACUAUUCCGAAUUUUGAUGAUUGCAAUCUUGAUAUCUUUCACGAAUUCGAAAUUUUGGAAUCAAAAAUUCAAGACGAGAGUGAUAACGAGGAAGAAUCUGAGUUUUCGUUAAAGAAUUUUGAACAAUAUGAAGAGAAAUUCAAACCGAACUUAGAAAAAAUAGAAAUCAUUAAUAUUGGCACUGAAACCGAUGUCAAGGAGAUAAAAAUUAGCAUUCAUUUGAAUAAGAAGUAGAGAAAAGAGAUGAUUGAAUUCUUGACCAUGUUUCAAGAUGUGUUUGCUUGGUCUUAUGAUGACAUGAUGGGUAUUUCAAGAGAUAUAGCGGUGCACAAAUUGCCAACAGACCCAAAAUUUUCACCAUGAAGUAGAAGUCUCGUAAAUUCAAACCGGACAUAAGUCUUAAAAUCAAGAAGCAAAUCGAGAAGCAACUCACUGCAAGAAUCAUCAUGGUGUCUCACUACUAUAUUUGGCUUUCAAAUCCAGUCCCCAUCCCGAAGAAAAGUGAAGAGGUAAGGGUAUGUGUUGACUAUCGAGAUUUGAACAGGGCUAGUCCAAAAGAUGAUUUUUCCUUGCCAAACAUAUAUAUCCUUUUGGACAACACCGCUAGGCAUGAGAUUGAAUCCUUUGGUGAUUGUUUCGCCGGAUAUCAUCAAAUUCUAAUGGCAGAAGAGGACAGAGAGAAAACUGCUUUUAUCACUCCAUGGGGAACGUUUUGCUAUCGAGUAAUGCCAUUCGAAUUGAAAAAUGUUGGAGCUACUUAUCAAAGGACCAUGACCACCUUGUUCCACGAUAUGAUUUAUAAGGAGAUGAAAGUUUAUGUGGAUGGUAUCAUAAUCAAAUCCAAGAAAGCGGAGGAUCAUUUGGUUGACUUGAAAAAGUUAUUUGAAAGGUUGAGAAGAUAUAAUUUGAAAUUAAAUCCCGCGAAGUGCACUUUCAGAGCUCCUACCGGCAAAUUAUUGGGGUUCAUUGUCAGUAAAAAGGGCAUAGAGAUAGGUCCGAUAAAGAUUAAAGCCAUUCGUGAAAUGCCAGUGCCAAAAACACAAAAAGAUAUGCAGAGUUUCUUAGGAAAGAUUAAUUUCAUCGGUCUAUUCAUUGCUCAAUUGACUUUUACAUGUGAGUCUUUGUUUAAAUUGUUGAAGAAAAAUGUGUCAUUGUAUUGGAGUGAAGAAUGCCAACAGGCUUUUGAUAAGAUCAAGGAUUACUUGUUGCAUCCCCCCCCCGAUUUUAGUGCCAUCCAAACCAGGUCGACCUUUGAUUAUGUACCUGUCUAUGCUCGACGAGACUGUGGGAUAUGUCUUGGGGCAGCAUGAUGAUUCUGGAAAAAGAGAGCAAGUCAUUUAUUAUCUUAGCAAAAAAUUCACACCUUACAAGGCAAAAUACACAUUUCUUGAAAGGAGUUGCAGUGCAUUGGUCUGGACAACUCAGAAAUUGAGGCAUUACUUGCUUAGUCACACCACCUACCUUAUCUCUCGUUCAGAUCCUUUGAAGUACUUAUUGGAGAAACUAAUGCCGACCGGACGCAUGACUCAAUGGCAAAUGAUCUUUUCUGAAUUCAAUAUCAUUUUCAUCAUGCAAAAGGCAAUCAAGGGUCAGGCUAUAGCAGAUCACUUGGCUGAAAAUCUAAGGGAAGAUGAUUAUCAACCGCUUCACACUUAUUUUCCUGAUGAGAAGAUCUUGUUUAUUGGUAUAGCAGAGGAUAUGAAUGAGCGAUACUCUGAGUGGAGACUGUUCUUUGAUGGUGUUUCAAAUUCUUUCGGAGCUGGUAUCGGAGCUAUUAUAGUAUCACCUGAAGGAAAGCGUUAUCCCGAUUCCGUUAAACUACGAUUUUUAUGCACUAACAAUAUGGCUGAAUAUGAGAUUUGUAUUUUUGGACUCAAAAUGGCGUUGGAGAUAGAGAUUAAGGAUUUAAUAGUGUUCAGUGAUUUCGAUUUACUCAUGCAUCAAACGCUCAAAGAAUGGAUCACUCGAGAUUCAAAAAUCUUGUCAUAUCAUUGUAAUUUACUAGAUUUAGCAAAAAAAUUCAGGAGUUUGGAGUUCAGACAUAUUCCACGUGCCAGAAAUGUUUUUGCUGAUGCUUUGGCUACUUUAUCUUCAAUGAUUCAACAUCCAGAUGAAUUGGUGAUUGAGCCUAUCCAGAUUCAAUUGCAAGAAAAGCCUACACAUUGUUUGGUUAUGAAAAAAUCUUCUGAUGGCCGUCCCUGGUACAGCAAUAUUAAGGAAUUUCUCAAAACAGGGUCCUAUCCUCCAGGUGCUGAUGCAACUGCUAAAAAUUUCUUGUGCAUAUUAUCAUCCAAGUUUUUCUUGAAUGGAGAUGUGGUCUACAAAAGGACGUCAGACUUGGGCCUUCUAAGAUGCGUCGAUGAAGAAGAAGCAGAUUAUUUGAUGAAAGAAGUGCACAGUGGUGUAUGUGAAUCACAUAUGAACGGGCAUUUAUUAGCAAAGAAGAUCAUGGAAUAUGAUAUUUUUAACUUACUAUGGAGCAUGAUUGUAUAGAUUUUGUCAGAAAAUGCAUUAAAUGUCAAUUGCAUGGGGAUGUUAUGCGCACUUCCCCCACAGAAUUACACAGUAUGACUGCUCCCUAAUCAUGUUUAAUGUGGGGUAUGGAUAUAAUUGGAACCAUUGACCCUCCUGCUUAAAACGGGCAUCGAUUUAUUUUGGUGGCAAUUGAAUAUUUUACUAAAUGGGUUGAAACUGAGUCUUGCAAGCAUGUGACUAAGAAUGUGGUGACCGAUUUUCUAAGGAAACACAUCAUUUGUCGUUUUGGUAUGCCAGAGACAUUAAUCACUGACAAUGCUAAGAAUUUCAACAAUGACAUGGUAGAUAGAUUGUGCGAGCAGUUCAAAAUCAAUUAUCAAAAUUCUACUAUUUAUAGAUCACAGAUGAAUGGAACUAUGAAGGCCGCAAAUAAGAACUCGAAGAAGAUAAUCCGUAAAAUGAUCGAAAGACAUCGGGAUUGGCACAAGAAGCUCCCCUAUAUAUUAAUGGCAUAUAGAACUGCUAUUCAGACUUCUAUUAGGGCAAUGCCUUACAACCUCAUGUAUGGAAUAGAAGCAGAUUUGCCGGCUGAGGUCGAAAUUUCCUCAUUGCGCAUAUUAAUGGAGGCCAAACUAAAUGAAGCAAAUUGGAUUAAAUAACGUCAUGAGCAAUUGUCUUUAAUUGAUGAGAAAAGGUUAAAAGUCAUUUGUCAUGGUCAGUGCUAUCAAAAGAGAAUGGCCCGUACUUACAACAAGAAGGUCAAAGUGUGACUAUUCGAAAAAGGAGAUAAAGUGUUGAAACGGAUUUUGUCAGUACAAGAGGAGGCCAAAGGCAAGUUUGCACCAAAUUGGUAGGGCUUUUUUAUUCGUCAAUAUGGUAUUGUCUGGUGGAGCACUUGUUCUCGCAGAAAUGAAUGGACAAGUUUUCCCUCAACCGAUCAAUUCGGAUAUGUGUAAAAAAUUCUUUAUCUGAUAAACGGAAGUUUUCUUUUAGAGUUAAUGGGAAGAAUGGAAUAAAAGUCAGGUUUUCUUCCUUUCCAAUUAAAUAUUCUAUGCCUAGUUAUCCCUUUUGAACUUUCAUAAUAAAUUAUUUCGUUUGACAACUCCUGAGAAUCGCAAACCCCACACUGGGGCAAGUUUGAGUUAAAAAAGAAAAGAGAAAUCUCAAGAGGUGAAAAAUGAUAGACAAGAAAAAAAAUGAAAAGAAAUUAAAGAAAAGAAUCUCAAUUAAAAAUAAAUUUGGGCAAUUUUAGUUUAAUCCUAAAUCGGGUUAAUAUGAAGAUGCAACCUCAAGUGAUUUAAACAUUUAUAAAAUUUGCCUUCAAGUCUUAACCAUUUGUUAGCACCUUACCUGAUCACAUUACGAAAAAUCGAAAGUCCUGACUUCCAUUCUUUGUAUCACCUCUUUAAAGAAAUUUUCUAAUCAAAUGACAAAUGAUGUCAAUGCACCUUCACCAAUUUUACAAAGGAAUGAUUGUUGCACUGAUGCCGUCAUUUCUUAAAACACAUUUCUGAGUUGAUAAGAGCUAUCGGCAGGAUUUGUUUAUCAGGUGAAAAUCCAAAAGCGCACCUUUAAAAAAAGAAAAAAAGAAAAAAAAGAAGGAAACAGAAAAGAAGAAAGAAAAAGGAAAAAUGAAUAAAAGAAGAUAAAAAGGGUGGGGGUAACUUUAGUGAAAACUCGAAAGGGCGCUAAGGGUUUUAUGUUGAAAAGUGAGCUUGGAUUGGAAUGGCUGAAGACUCAACUCAUUUGAGUUUCUCUUCACGGUUGUAGUUUUGUUGCCGACAUUAAACUCCGGAUGAACGAUAUCCAAAGGGUCAAAUGUAACAUUUUGUUCGAAAUCCAAGUGUUUUGGUUCAUCAAACAUAAAUUUUGGAGUGUACAGGUUUAUUUCGCUAAAGUUAAUUUUCUUUCAAUAAAGGUAAAUGGCUAUGGCUGUUUUUCAUGUUACUAGAAUUUCUAUAAUUUUUGUGUACAUAAAAUAUUUUUUCAUAUGUUUCAUGGUCUCAUUUAUCUCUUUGAAUUUAUCAAACGACAAACCCUAUGAUUUAUUGAAAUUGUUUGGAUACUAAAUGUCAUAUUUCAUCAGCAUUGAAAGUUAUGAAAAUUUGAUGUUGUUCGCAGAGCAAAGUUGAGUUUUCGCUACAUCGGGGAAGAAUGUUCAAAUACUCAUGUUUACACAUUUCUUGAAAGCGAAUUUCAUCAGAUGGUGGUAGCAUUAUUUAUCAUAUGAUUAUUUCUUUUGCAUGUCCAAAUGUCCAAUAACAUCACACUAGGGCAAAUUCUCUAAAAAAAUAGUUAACUUUCUCCAUCAGAAUCUUCGAAAUUUUACAGAAAAGCCUUCUGCAAAAAUCUUUCCAAUUUUCAUGGCAGUUAUGGCAGGCUCAGGUUUUAUCCUACUGACCAAUUUUACGGCAGGCUUGAAUUUUAUCCCACUGACUGAUGUUACGGCAGACUCGAAUUUUAUCCCACUGACCAAUUUCACGGUAGGCUCGGAUUUUAUCCUACUGACCGAUAUUACGGCAGGUUCGGGUCUUUAUCCCAUUAACCAAUGUUAUAGCAGGUUCGAAUUUUAUCCCACUGACCUUUAUAUAUUUAUUUCAGUUCACGGCAGAAUAACUACAGGUAAGUAUUUGGUGUCUACAUUUUUGUCUCAAGUUUCUUCGAAAUUCAGAUAAAGAGGGGUAAGCUGUAGACACCAAAAUUUCAAUUUUUAUGUAAUUCAAUUUUAGCUUUAUUUUUUAUUAUUUAUUCUUUUUAUUUUAUUUUAUUUUAGUUGAUUAAGUUUGCAAAAUGAUAGUUAGUGUUUAUUUUUUGCUUAUUUUAGUAAAUUAGAUUCAUCAUUUUUCUUUUUAAGACAUUUUUUGUAUUAAAUUUCUGAAAAAAAAAAAGAAAAUUCUUACAAAAAUUUGUUUUAAUCUUUUUAAAUUCAGGUACUUCAAAAUAAAAUGAAAAUUAGUGAUGCAUUUAACAUUUUUUUUGUUACCCUAAACUUUUUUUGAAAAAUAAAAAAUAACAAAAUAAAAAAUAGGUGGAGACCAUACAAACUAGCUAAGUGGGAUAGGUAAGGGUUAGACAAGUGUUCUUAUUUUUUGUUGAUACCACAACACUUGCUAGAUUAGAUAGCAGGACACUUGUUGAUUUGGAAAAAUUUGGAGAAAAAUCUGAAAAUUAGGAGGAAAGGAAGAAGCUACGGGAAAAAAGAGGGAGAAAGGAAGCAAGGAAAAGAAAAAAGAAAGGCGGCAGACGGAGGGAAAAACAAGAAAAAAGGGAGGCUACGGGGCUGGGAAGAAAAGAAAGCAAAAAAGAAGAACAGAGUAAGAAAAAGAGGGAAACCGAGAGAGAAAAAUUUGGGAGAGAGCUUUGGGGCUAAACAAGAGAGAGCAAGAGAGGUAGGGAGAAACUACAAGAGAUAGAGAGAACGAGAGGAAAACUCUAGAGAAACAAGAAACAAGAAACAAGAAAAAAAAAAAAAAGAAGCUGCGGAGAAGAAAGAGUUUGGGCAGAAAAAAAAAACUAAGAGAAAAGAGGAACCAGUAGCAAAAGAAAACCAAGGAACAAAGGAGAAGACGGAGCUGCCGUCGCUCGCCGAAAUCAUCCACCACCGUUGUCGUCAAUCUUCACCGGAAAAACACUAAUUUUUGCUAACGAAUGUAUGGAAAUGAGAGUUAUUGACCUGCUUGCUUCUCUCCUUUUUCUUUUAGUAAAAAUUUCUUAUCUCUUUCUGAUGUUUAUGCAUUCGUGUGGAGUUGUAAUUUCUGUUGUUUGUAAGAGAGUUGGUUAGGUUGCUGUAAAUUUUAGGCUUGCUAUUUUGCAAAUCAAUAAAAUCGAUUCAAUUUUGUUGAUGCACCUAACCUGUUUGAUCAAUGGCCUCUGCGUAAACUUAAGCCAAAGAAGUCAAUGUGGUGAUUUUCUGUGUGAGUGUAAGAGGAACUCUGGCCAGUCCAAAGCUGGCCAGAGCCUGUGAGUUCGAUAGUUGGGGGGGGGGGGAAAUGAAGUCAAGAAAUUUUGGAGUUGAUUUCUUCCGUUUUUGUUGUCUUUUGUAUCUUACAAUGGUUUAGUGUGUACUUGUGCGUGUGGAGUGAAAAGAGAAAACUCCAGCCAGUCCAAUGCCGGCUGAAGCGACGAUUUCCAGUUUUUUCGGUGAAGUCUCGGUGAAGUGACGAUUUCCAGUCCAACCUUUCUUGUCUUUUAGUUUCUAGAAUCUGUUUUCUCUCCGUUAUGGUAUGAUAACCUUUUUGGAUGGCUUGAUAUGUUUAAUGAAAACCCAGAAACCCGCGAAGAAGAUGAAGGCUUCGACUAAGAUGCCUGAACAUUUUUUGAAACUUCUGGUUAAACCCUCCGACUUUUACUUAAUUCUGAUAUGGCCCAAAAAUUGGAAAAAUCAGUCAAUUCUUGUCCUUUGAAGUCUUAAUUUUUAUUUGGCAUAUUAUAAUAUGAUUUUUUGGAUAGAUUGCAUGUGAGUUUUAUGAUGAAAUUUAAGGUUUAAUAAUUUCUAUAUAUUUAUAAUUUUAAUUUGAGUUUUAGCGAAAAAUUUAAAGAUUUGGGUAAUAUUUUUGUGGAUUUAAUUUAUUUUGUAAAUUUUAGCAAUUAAGUUUGAUAAGCUUUAUUUGGGGCUCUUAAUUUCAUUUUCCUUUAAUUUUGACCCUUAAGAUUUUAUGAUGAUAAUUUGACCCCCAAAACUUUUUUUUCAAUUAGGUCCUUGUUUGUUUAAAAUUUUCUGAAUAUAGGUUGUUUACUUUCAUUAAAUACUUUAAUUGAUUCAAUUUCAUGUUUAUUUUCAUAUUUUAUGAUUAUUUGUUACUUAAAGUGGUGCCUUAACCAUUUUCUUCGUGUUGGAGGGUAGAAAUAAGGGCAAUUUGACUUCAUUUAAUCAUCACUUCAAAAGGGAGGUACCCCUAUUAUUAUUAUUUCAAUGUUAAUUACGUGUUUAACACAUAUUUUUAUAUGUUUCAUUUAUUUGAUUUAAAUGUUCAUUCAAAUUUUCUUAUAUUUGUUUAGUUAAUUUUUAUAAUUAUUUAAGAGGCAUUUAAAUACCUCAAAAAAUGUAAUAGAUAGGAUAAUUAGAUUUGUUUUAUUACAUUUUUCCAUUUUAGAUUGUAAUUAGAUCCCCUAUUGUAAUAGGUAGGGUAGAUAGGAUUUUUUCAUCUCCCCAUUUUAGAUUGUAGUUAGAUU
This 26592-nucleotide long non-coding RNA is filed under the name Coffea arabica (coffee). Its description in RNAcentral is "long non-coding RNA (CARA_LNC006536)". Lineage: Eukaryota; Viridiplantae; Streptophyta; Magnoliopsida; Gentianales; Rubiaceae. The record is from RNAcentral.